Molecule: long non-coding RNA, 1911 nt
Organism: Haplochromis burtoni (Burton's mouthbrooder)
Lineage: Eukaryota; Metazoa; Chordata; Actinopteri; Cichliformes; Cichlidae
Exons: 2
Source: RefSeq, a predicted model, not a curated record
AAUCUCACAGUAUUGAUCCAGGUGUUGUUGUCAUGUUUUUAUGUGCCAGUGUUUUUCAUUUUUGAUGAUUUAAAAAUGGAGAUGCCAUUUCUAAUUACAGCAGGUUUGUUGUCAGUGAAGAUGUUCACUUUACUUUAAAACACUCCAGUUUAAGAACAGAGAGCCGAGGUCAGCAAACAAAAUGUGAAAAUGAGCAAUGCAUGACCUAUGACCUUUCCUGGAUAUUCAAAUUCCAAGUUCCUCUGUGUUCUCCAUAUGAGGUGGCUGUAGAGCAGGUCCUCUACCAAAAUGAAAGGGUGGUGAUUUGAUCCUUGGCUCCUUAAAUCUGCAUGCCAACUAUCCUUGAGCAAAACACCUGAUGCAGCCAUCAGAGGGAGAAUGUUAGAUAGAAGGAUAGAAAUGCAGAGGCCAUUAUUAUUAGUGCUGUGGAUUGUAAAGAACAAUGUGGAUUAGACAAUCCCUUUAACACUGGUAUCAAAAGUGAAAUCAAAUAAUCAAUUGGAUAUUAUGCAAAUAUAUAAAUAAAACAUAAAUACCUGUUUUGAAUGGCAGAAAGAUGUGAGAAAGUAAGAAAGACAGAGACAGGUGGGUGAGCUCCAUUCACUCUCAUCAGCAGAGAGAGAGAGAGCUGCACACUGUGCUGUAAACUCUUUAAAAUACCUCAAUAAAAGCCUCCUCUGUGCCUACGAGGAGAAACUGAAACCGGAGCAGUUUCCAGCUCUGUCUGCUCGUUUGUUCCACUUUCAGCAGAAAACAUUAUUUGCUGCAAAAAGUGACGUCAUCCUCACUUUAGCCCAUUACUCACAUACUGAGCUGCCAUAAAGAAUCAUUUAUACUGUUAAAAUAAAUGUCCUAAAUAUCCUGCAAGACACUAACCCUGAUGCAUCCAUCAGAGUGAGAAUGUUAGAAAGAUAAAAGCACUCGAGUAUAGAAGAAGUUUAUGUGUGGCUGGAUGAAUGUUGUGUAAAGUGCUCUGAGUCUCCAGGAGUCUGUUAAAUAAGAAUCAGUCCACUGAUGAAACAGAUCCAUUGCUGGAAACAUGCUGAACAUUACGGCUGAUUCUUCUCAAACUGAUCAGAUGUUGAAAUGGUUUUUGUGACCAUUUUUUAACCUGAAUCCAAAUGUAAAAUUUUGGUUCAAAUCAGGUGAAGCUAGAAUAUCAGGGAUAGAAAGCUCAAAACAGACGUUUCGCAAGAAGUGACGUCAUCCUCACUUUAGCCCAGUACUCACACACUGAUCCGGCAUAAAGAUUAUAUUUAUACCUCAUGGCAAAUACGCUUUUUCCCCCUUUUUUAUUCUCUCUGACUUCUGCUACAAAUAUCUCAUAAACAGGAGGCAGGUUCACUAUAACCAAAACUACAGACUCACACAUCAUGUCAGUGUUACAGCAAACAGCAUCCACAGCAGUGCACAGUUAAGAAGACAUUAAGAAAACAGUCCAACUUUUCUCUGCAUCAUUUCCUUUUGGGUUUUUGUGAACUUAUUUUCUACAUCAGCAGAUCGAUGCAGGGUCUCUGUGGUCGUCGUUAUCUUAUCAUCUGUUUCAUCUGUCGCUGGUUUUCUGCACAUUUCUUUCACUCUAAAAGUAAGAGUAAGUAUGUUGCUGCUGCUUGUGCAAUCAGACUGACUCAUCGUUCACUUUCUUUUGCUCGUCUGUAUAAACUUUGUUGUGCCGUCAGUGAUUCAUUACAUCACUUGUGUUUCAUUGUCAUUGUUGUGUAUUGUUCAUUAGUUAAAGCCUGUUUGUUGUUUCACUGAAUGAAAGUUCUGUGUUUGUAGUUUUUCUAAAUUCUUUGUGUUUCAGGGAUAUUUAAAUGCACUACAGGCGUAUUCAGCUCAGUGAAAACAUCAACUGAAAGUCAAAUAACAUGUAUUAUUAAUUUAAAUUAAAUAUAUAUAUAUAAAACACAG